RNAcentral lists this ribosomal RNA (468 nucleotides) under uncultured bacterium. Its description in RNAcentral is "partial 16S ribosomal RNA". It matches the Rfam family "Bacterial small subunit ribosomal RNA", at positions 28 to 507 of the family's 1533-position model. The record is from RNAcentral.
GACGAACGCUGGCGGCGUGCUUAACACAUGCAAGUCGAACGGAAAGGCCCUGCUUUUGUGGGGUGCUCGAGUGGCGAACGGGUGAGUAACACGUGAGUAACCUGCCCUUGACUUUGGGAUAACUUCAGGAAACGGGGGCUAAUACCGGAUAGGAGCUCCUGCUGCAUGGUGGGGGUUGGAAAGUUUCGGCGGUUGGGGAUGGACUCGCGGCUUAUCAGCUUGUUGGUGGGGUAGUGGCUUACCAAGGCUUUGACGGGUAGCCGGCCUGAGAGGGUGACCGGGCACAUUGGGCCUGAGAUACGGCCCAGACUCCUACGGGAGGCAGCAGUGGGGAAUCUUGCACAAUGGGCGGAAGCCUGAUGCAGCAACGCCGCGUGCGGGAUGACGGCCUUCGGGUUGUAAACCGCUUUCGCCUGUGACGAAGCGUGAGUGACGGUAAUGGGUAAAGAAGCACCGGCUAACUACGUG